Molecule: long non-coding RNA, 1522 nt
Organism: Daphnia pulex (common water flea)
Lineage: Eukaryota; Metazoa; Arthropoda; Branchiopoda; Diplostraca; Daphniidae
Exons: 9
Source: RefSeq, a predicted model, not a curated record
UUGCUAGUCACAAAUGGCGUCUAUUUCUUGAAAAGCUAACAAAAAUGUCUCCAAUUACAGUAAAUAAAGGGAUUUUCAAGAAUCUUCAGGUAAUGAAAAGUCCAAAGUAGUUACGAACUUGUUGAUUAUUUAGGAUUUCCACGAUAAAAAAAGAAAAAGUAUGUAAUGGCCGACAAGCCAAAAGCUAUAGGCUCGUCUGUUAUCUACCCUAAACGGAGUAAAUAGUAUCAUAUACUACUAAGCUGAAAUGAGAAGAGGAACAAUAGUGUAUCUGGAAUGGCUUUCGGUGAGAAAGCUGAAAAAUUUCUAGCCUCACCAAAACCAGUAGAAUUUUCUCAACACUUCAGAAAGAGUUUCUCGGUUGAAGAAUUAAGUAACGAUGUGUAAUGUUGUGGCAGAAGAGGAACCAUCAUCUGAAAAGAAAACCAGUCUAGCUGGUAAUGAAAGCACAAAGCAUUUAAACAGUGAAGAGACAUGUUCAACUGAGGUUAUAAAAGAGAUUACAAAUAUUGGUAUCGCUGAUGACCAAACAACUUGAAGAAAUCUAGCCUCACAGAAAGCCACUGAAUAUUCUCUGCAUAGAAAGCAUUGUUCAGAAGAAAUGAAGUUUGAUCUUGAGUCUGAUGAGGAAACAUCGUUAACUGGAAAAAAGCGAUCUAAUGCAGCCGGUGGUAAAAGCAAAAAAGGAUUUAAAACACUGACGGGCUGGCAUGUUCAACAAGCUGCUCCUUGAGUUAAGCACAGCCAUCUGGAAUCAAAAAGGAAAAUGUCGAUGAAUUUUCUUCUAAGGAUGAAUUUUAAAAACGAAAAAGGCAACCAAAGGGGAAAAAGCUUGAAAAAGCAUAGCAAGCCAAGCCAAAAAAUGGGAAAAAGAAUCCAAAAGCCCAUGAAGUGACCAAAAAUAUUCCUGCCGAAUGUACAUCGUGUGAUGAUUGCGUAUCACUAACUGAAAAUGUGUUUGCGACCAAAACAGAAAAUGAAGGUAUGUUACCAAUAAUACAACGCGGAUUAAUUUGUUUUAUUAUUUUUUAAAAAUACUAUAUAAAAUUUUAGGUUUCCUUGCAAUGGAAGAUAGUGGUCUGAUAACAGAUAUGGUUGCUGAAGAAUCAUCUGCGCACAUAGAAAACGAGCAAAGUUGUGGUUUGUGUGCGGCUUCGGGAAGUAUCGAAAAUGUCGUCGCUGGAACAAAGGUUUCCAAAGUAAAAAUGGAUCAACGAUAGUAAUAGUGAUUCUGAACAAGAUUUCGAAUCGGAAAUGAAGGACCAGUCCAGGGUCAGGCUCAUUGUAAAUAAACAUAGUAAAUCUAACAGUAUCAAAGCUAUCCGAAAGUCUGAAAAUGUUUCUCGUAUCAAUGAGAAAAAAGAUGCAAAGAUAUCAUGCAAUUAUUUUCGAACCAAAAAAAGGUUGAGGGUGUUAUAAAAGUUAUUGGUUUUCAUGUGUUGCAUUUAAGAUCUUAAGACCAUUAAAAUGCAGUUUUCAGUGUUUGAUUAAGGAUAUCAAAAUACACAUGUUGUAGAAAGUA